GCCUUCUUUUUGGCUUUCUUCAUCUUCUUUGUCAUUUUCUUCUGCACUUCCUCCUCUGACAGCACAGUAAAGAGCUCCAGGACUGCAUCAUUGCCCUGAUGAAUGAUGAAAAGAGAUAAGUAUAGCAUUCAUUUCCUACAGAAUAUCAAUAUAGAUAUAUUUGAAUGUUACAGAUUUUGAUGAAAACAAAGCACAUUCAUUGCAUAAAAUACUACUAAACAACAAUGUAAAAAUCCCUCUGUGAUUCCAGCUUCAGGGUCCUGACACAUGGCAACUUUACACGGACAGUAACCAACUGCUGCCUUAUUUUGACUCAUGUUAACUGAACACACUACAAACUACAUCUGACAGCCAGCUGAACGCCAACAUGCAUGUUCAUUCUGCCUGAGCCUUCAUGGGAGGAAAUAACUUAGGAAACCGGAGGACGAUUCGACACUUACAUGACAGGCGAUGACUCUGGCCUUGGCGUCUGCUGCCAGCGAAACAACUCGGUCUCGGGCCUCUCUCAGGAUUGAUCCGGCUUUCCUACAACUCAGGAUCCGCUGAGAGAGGAAAAAAGAGAGAGAGAGAAUAUAUGAAUGUAUGUAAGACAUUACAUGUGUUAAAGAAAAUGA
Long non-coding RNA from Perca flavescens (yellow perch), 614 nucleotides. RefSeq lists it as uncharacterized. NCBI's taxonomy places the organism in Eukaryota, Metazoa, Chordata, Actinopteri, Perciformes, Percidae. The transcript has 2 exons. The record is from RefSeq and is a predicted model, not a curated record.